Molecule: ribosomal RNA, 327 nt
Filed under: Labiobaetis gilliesi
Lineage: Eukaryota; Metazoa; Arthropoda; Insecta; Ephemeroptera; Baetidae
Description: partial 12S ribosomal RNA
Rfam family: Bacterial small subunit ribosomal RNA
Source: RNAcentral
ACUAACCUGCCGUUAAACCCACCUGAGUAGUACCGGUGCCCGCCCUAAACUCAAAGAAUUUGGCGGCCCUUCACCUUAUUAGAGGAACCUGCCCCGUAAUCGACGGUCCACGAGCCACCCGACCCCUCCUCACAGCUUGUAUACCGCCGUUUAGAGUGAAUUCGAAGAUUCACUCGCGAUUAAAUUAUUAAGUAAUUCAGGUCAAGGUGCAGCCCAUGGAGGGGAGGAGGUGGGUUACAAUGAGACAUGCCCGGACCUGGCCAUGAAAAGGCCCGUGAAGUUGGAUUUAAAUGUAAUUCCUGCUAGAUUGGCAAAGCCCUGAAGCGU